This 277-nucleotide long non-coding RNA is filed under the name Ananas comosus (pineapple). RNAcentral describes it as "long non-coding RNA (ACOM_LNC036382)". The record is from RNAcentral. Lineage: Eukaryota; Viridiplantae; Streptophyta; Magnoliopsida; Poales; Bromeliaceae.
UAUCUAGAACUAUAAGCUUGAGGAAGGCGCCAGUUUCUAGAGAAUUAAGAUAAAGUAGGGGGUCAGGAUUUGGAGAGGAGGAGGAGGAAGAAGAAGAAGAAGAAGAAGAAGAAAGAAGAAGAAGAAGAAAGAAAAUACAAGGAGAGGAAAUCGAGGAGAAGAGGAAAUUAGAGUUUUCGAAAUUGAGGAAAAGAUGAGAUUAGAUAGAGUUUUCUCUUAGGUAAAGAAGUGGAAAGAAAUAAAAGGGUGAUGGGGAAUAUUUAAAGAGAUGCAACAA